UUCCAGAUUGCGCUGCUGGACGAGCUGUCCCGCUUGAAUCGGGAUUCGCUGAAAACGCAUACGGAAGUGAAGCCGUUCGAGCCCGCUUUAGCAA
RNAcentral lists this transfer RNA (94 nucleotides) under Paenibacillus thiaminolyticus. RNAcentral's name for it is "tRNA-Ser(tga)". Lineage: Bacteria; Bacillati; Bacillota; Bacilli; Caryophanales; Paenibacillaceae. The record is from RNAcentral.